Molecule: ribosomal RNA, 930 nt
Filed under: Paenirhodobacter enshiensis
Lineage: Bacteria; Pseudomonadati; Pseudomonadota; Alphaproteobacteria; Rhodobacterales
Description: bacterial LSU rRNA
Rfam family: Bacterial large subunit ribosomal RNA
Source: RNAcentral
GCACGAAUGGCGUAACGAUCUCCCCGCUGUCUCAAACGUGGACUCAGCGAAAUUGAACUGUGUGUCAAGAUGCACACUACCCGCGGUUAGACGGAAAGACCCCAUGAACCUUUACUCUAGCUUUGCACUGGCAUCAGGAUUGUGAUGUGCAGGAUAGGUGGUGGGCUUUGAAACCGGGACGCCAGUCUCGGCGGAGCCUCCCUUGAGAUACCACCCUUCGCACUCUUGAUGUCUAACCGCGACCCGUUAUCCGGGUCCGGGACCCUGCAUGGUGGGGAGUUUGACUGGGGCGGUCGCCUCCCAAAUCGUAACGGAGGCGCGCGAUGGUUGGCUCAGACCGGUCGGAAAUCGGUCGUUGAGUGCAAUGGCAGAAGCCAGCCUGACUGCAAGUCUGACAAGACGAGCAGAGACGAAAGUCGGUCAUAGUGAUCCGGUGGUCCCAAGUGGGAGGGCCAUCGCUCAACGGAUAAAAGGUACUCUGGGGAUAACAGGCUGAUGAUGCCCAAGAGUCCAUAUCGACGGCAUCGUUUGGCACCUCGAUGUCGGCUCAUCUCAUCCUGGGGCUGGAGCAGGUCCCAAGGGUAUGGCUGUUCGCCAUUUAAAGAGGUACGUGAGCUGGGUUUAGAACGUCGUGAGACAGUUCGGUCCCUAUCUGCCGUGGGUGCAGGAUACUUGAUGGGAGUUGCCCCUAGUACGAGAGGACCGGGGUGAACGAUCCACUGGUGGACCAGUUAUCGUGCCAACGGUAGUGCUGGGUAGCUAUGAUCGGACAGGAUAAACGCUGAAGGCAUCUAAGCGUGAAGCCCCCCCAAAAACUAGGUAUCCCUUGAGGGCCGUGGUAGACCACCACGUCGAUAGGCCAGAGAUGUAAGCGCGGCAACGCGUUCAGUUGACUGGUACUAAUUGCCCGAUUGGCUUGAUUUGAUCCAG